AGGAGGAAUGGAAUUGAGAGGGAGGAGGGGACCCGUCCCUCCCUCCACAAAAGAGAGGGGGCUGGGACGCGCGCAGGGUAAAAGGGAGAGAAGGAAUAGGACCGAGACCCACGCAAGGACAAAGGAAAAGGGAUUUGAAUGAGUGUGUUUAGACAUAAUGGGGGUGCAUAAAGCAACUUGGGGUGUGCUCGUAACCUGAACCAAGAGAAAUAUCUCCACCAGUGCAUGUGCUUGUAAUACUCUUCUGUCUAUUACUGAU
This 259-nucleotide long non-coding RNA is filed under the name Physcomitrium patens. Its description in RNAcentral is "long non-coding RNA (PPAT_LNC000158)". Lineage: Eukaryota; Viridiplantae; Streptophyta; Bryopsida; Funariales; Funariaceae. The record is from RNAcentral.